GCGGAGGGAGCUCGACUUGGUUUGAGCAGUAGAUUGUGAAUCUAAAGGUUAUGGGUUCAAAUCCCAUUCUCCGCC
This 75-nucleotide transfer RNA is filed under the name Schizymenia dubyi. RNAcentral describes it as "tRNA-His". It matches the Rfam family "tRNA". Rfam says of the family: Transfer RNA (tRNA) molecules are approximately 80 nucleotides in length. Their secondary structure includes four short double-helical elements and three loops (D, anti-codon, and T loops). The record is from RNAcentral. Lineage: Eukaryota; Rhodophyta; Florideophyceae; Nemastomatales; Schizymeniaceae.